RNAcentral lists this ribosomal RNA (301 nucleotides) under uncultured bacterium. Its description in RNAcentral is "partial 16S ribosomal RNA". It matches the Rfam family "Bacterial small subunit ribosomal RNA", at positions 509 to 807 of the family's 1533-position model. The record is from RNAcentral.
CAGUCGCCGCGGUAAUACAGAGGGUGCGAGCGUUAAUCGGAUUUACUGGGCGUAAAGCGUGCGUAGGCGGCUUCUUAAGUCGGAUGUGAAAUCCCUGAGCUUAACUUAGGAAUUGCAUUCGAUACUGGGAAGCUAGAGUAUGGGAUAGGAUGGUAGAAUUCCAGGUGUAGCGGUGAAAUGCGUAGAGAUCUGGAGGAAUACCGAUGGCGAAGGCAGCCAUCUGGCCUAAUACUGACGCUGAGGUACGAAAGCAUGGGGAGCAAACAGGAUUAGAUACCCGCGUAGUCCCUGUCUCUUAUAC